AGCCAAUAAGAGAAUGGAAACUAUGUAAGACAACAAGAUUCGUAAAGUGGAGUGAUGAUGUUAUGUAAGGAUAAGACUGUAUAAAUGCCAAGUACUAAGAAUGAAGAGUUGGUUCUUCCAUGUAAUUGCUCAGCUUUGUUACUCUCUGUAAUAAAGUAUUUUUGAAUUCACAAACUCCGGUAUCUGAGAAGUAUUUGAUUCAAUAUUUUCCACAACACUGUCCACUCCGCGGACCUGGAGUGGGCCCAUUCCUCCAGGCUUGCCUGCCACCCGGGCUCCAAUUGGACCCUGGCCUUUGUGUGACAAUGCUUUUGGUGGCCUACUAUGGUUCCAGAUGUCGCAGCGUUUGUCGCCGCUUGCACGGUCUGUGCUCAGAACAAGACUCCUCGGCAAGCUCCAGCUGGUCUUAUUUAAACACUGCCUGUCCCUCACCAUCCCUGGUCCCACAUAUCCCUGGAUUGUGUCACGGGUCUCCCCCCAUCUGAGGGCAACACUGCCAUCCUGACUGUGGUCGACCGGUUUUCCAAAGCCAACCACUUCAUUCUUCUUCCCAAACUACCCUUGCCCAAGAAGAUGGCCCAGCUCAUGGUGCAGGACGUCUUCCGGAUCCCUGGACUGCCCACGUGGACAUGGUCUCCAACCGAGGUCCUCAGUUCUGGAAGGCCUUCUGCACCCUCAUUGGGUCAUCGGCCAGCCUGUCCUCUGGGUUCCACACCCAGUCCAACGGCCAGUCGGGGGGGGUGCCAACCAAGACCUCGAGACUACUCUGCGCUGCCUGGUCUCCGCCAACCCCACCACCUGGAGCCAGCAGCUUGUCUGGGUGGAAUACACCCGCAACACCCUUCUCUGCUCUGCCACGGGCCUAUCGCCCUUGGAGUGUUCCCUGGGGUAUCAGCUCCCGCUCUUCCCCGAGUAGGAAGAAGAGGUCGGCAUACCUUCUGCCCAGAUGUUUUCCCGCCGCUGUCGUCAUACCUGGAGGAGAGCCCGGUCAGCCCUCCUCAAGACCACCUGCAGGUAUUCAUGACAAGCGGAUUGCCAUCGGACCCGGGCUCCCUGGUAUCAUCUCGGGCAGAAGGGACAUCCUGGACCCAGGCCUCAUUUCGGAUUUCCAACGCCGACACCCCGGUCAACCAGGUAUGCAACCAGGUAUGCGCCCUAGGGGGGGUACUGUCACACCCUGAUCUGUUUCACCUGUCUUUGUGAUUGUCUCCACCCCCCUCCAGGUGUCACCCAUCUUCCCCAUUAUCCCCUGUGUAUUUAUACCUGUGUACUUUGUUUGUCUGUUGCCAGUUCGUUUUGUUUCUACAAGCCUACCAGUGUUUUCCCCUCCGUUCCUGUCUCUUGAUUGUUCCUGUUUUCUAGUUUUCCCGGUGUUGACCUUAUCUGCCUGCCCUGACCCUGAGUCUGCCUGCCGUCCUGUACCUUUGCCCCCCUAAUUUGGAUUACUGACCUCUGCUGACCCUGAGCCUGCCUGCCUUCCUGUACCUUUGCACAACCUUACUGGAUUACUGGUGAUGUAAAUGCACCUUCAAGAGCGAGGUAAUUGAUAUUACAGAACAAUGGUUUAGAAUCUGAAGGGUUGGCCCAAACAAUUUGGCUGGGAUUCAUUCUAGUGCUGUGAAAGCGUCUUGCCCGCUGCGCACUGAACUUCCUCCAAUGCACCUUUGAAAUUUCCCUGAUGGCACACAGGCUCUGCAUCAUUUCACAUGGGUACAUUUCUGUUUUCAAAUGUCAAGGAUCUAGGCUUACUGUACAGCAGCAUCUUGUACGCACUGCCAAUCUAGACUUAAAGGGGCAGUUUGGGAUUUUGCUUCAGCCCAGCGGCAACCCCGAUACUUAAACUGGGGGAUGGGACUGUAUACUGUAAGUGUAACAGAUUUCAAAUGUAGAGUAAUGGAUACAAGGGCUGACAGUCAAUGAGAGCAACAUGACAGCUUUUGCCAUAUUCUGAAGCUAUACAUUGUUUGUUUACGAAGACAUUGUUAAGCCGAUCAUAACCCCCCCAAAAAUGUUUUUUACUCUGUUGUUUUUAAAUCAAAAAUCAAAUCAAACUUUGUCACAUGCACCAAAUACAACAAGUGUAGACCUUACCAUGUAAGUAAGCAUUUCAUGACAAAUAAAAUUUGAUUUGAUUUUUGAUUUAUAAACAAAGAAGUAUUUAAAAAAAAAAAAACAUUUUUACAAUAAAGCACACGUAGCCUACAUAUUAAUACAUACACACAAACAAUCUUGGUCAAAUAAGAGUUAGUGAGGACAAGGACACAGCAGGCAAGGUCAGAGUUUCUCAAGCUAUUUGUGCCAGGGACCUGAACGCUAUCCCGCUGGGCACAAACUGGUUAUAUCAACAUUGUUUCCACAUCAGUUCAACAAACAUUUUAUGUGAUAAUGUUGAAUCUACAUAGAAAUCUGAUUGGAUUUGCAAAAAGUCAUCCACAUAAGGACUUUCAUUUAUUUUCUUUCAUUUUUUUCACGCAACUUUUUACUUUUAGGCUACUACCAGAUCUGUGUUGUUUUGCCAACUAUGUUCAGAGGUAGUCAUAGAGAAUGAAUAGGCAAAAUGUGGUUUAGGGGGUAUGACUUUGAAAUUCCACAGUAAAUUAAAGUAUUUUUACUAAUGAAUAUGCCUUAGAUAUGCUUUAAUGAGAUUUGGACUAAUGGCUUACUUUAUCCACACCUUACCUCAUUAUUCCAAUAUAGCUUUUGUUUAGGAUCCACUGCUGGAUUCCUGCCAGCCUGCCACUGUGAAAUGAACGCUAUUGUACCAAUUAUAAAAUGGAUAACAAACAACCUUUGAAUAUAGCCUAGCGGUUAAGAGUGUUGGGCUAGUAACUGAAAAGGCCGCUGGUUUGAAUCCCCUAGCCAACUAGGUAAUAAAAAUGUUGGGUGAAAAAAAUCUGAAGUUGCCUUACGUUGACACCUUUUUGCAAAUCCAAUCAGUUUCCCACAUUGUUUCAACGUCAUCAGAUUACAAUUUUUGGUUGAAAUUACAUGCGAACAACUUUAAUGCAAAAAGUUUUUGCCCAGUGGGAGGUGCUUUUAUAGGCUUCCCUUAUUAUGGACUGACCCACUGGAAAAUAUACAGGGUCGGAUUCACUAGGCACGAAACUGAAAAAAACUGUUUGAAACUGGGAGGUACUAUAUGAGCUCGUUUUGCUACAGUGUGCCCUAAUGAAUAUGACCCAGGUUUGCUUUAUAUUUUCUUUAGCUCAGUGUAGCCUAGCCUGAUGCAUUAGCCUUGCAGCGCCACAAUCCCAUUAGGGAGCUUGAUAUACCAGUCUUCCAUCUACAAAUCUAGCUUGGCCGAGAGCCUCUUAGCUUCACCCGGGGAGACAUCCAGUCCAGGAAAAACAACAUUGAGACUGUUUAAGGAAUAAGGACAGACAUGGAGCUCAAUCUGGCCAUGGCCCAGUAAGUGCAUCUCAGUUCAAGGUGAAAAGGCCUACGUUACAGCUUUGACGUGGAUUACGACAUGUUGUGCAAUUUACAGUCAAAUCAAUGUCAGAAUGUUUUGUAUAGCAUAUGAGGUCCCUAGCUUGGGUAUCUAGCCUACCUGACUGUUUCAGCAUUCAGACACAUUACAUUGUCUUGACAGCAGCUAAUGGGGCUCCAUAAUAAAUACAAAUACCAAUUCCAGAAAACAACUUCAAAAUGUGUGUGUGCCCACCGGAUGUAAAUGACUAUCAACAUUGUUGUUCUAUGGCUGGCCUAGGUUGUAUUCAUUAGGGCAUACUGUAGUUGACGUAGGAAAGUGUUUUACAACAGAAAAUGAAAACAAGCCUUUCUUAUUGGACAAGUUCAGGCAGUCCCUCCCUGUUUCAAUCUGUUUUGUUCCCUUUGGUGCCCAAUGAAAAUGAACCAGGCUGGUUGUGAAAGGCCUGGCAUUCACUCACCUAAUUGACUUCUCUGUUAUGUUAAGAUGUUCUGUUCUGAGAAGAUUUGCGGGCAUCAAGCUGGGAACCCCUUUAAGGACAAUUGCUUUCGAUGUGAAAUGCUUACAUGGCAGUAAUGAAUGUCCUCUGGCAUAAUCCAUGGACCACUGGUUAUGGACGAUUCCUUCAUAGUGAUUGGUUGAUCAGCAGCUCCAUGGUUCCACAGUGAAAGACUGUGAAGAAUUAACCACAGGAUGAGAAUCACAUACUGAGGGACUUUACCAGACAAAUUAGCUUGGUCUGAGGGGCUUUGUGUUUUCUAUUGAUUCAAUUGCUGUGCUGUCAUGACAGUCUUGACAGCUUAUAAAUAGAAUCAGUAGAAAGAAUGAGAUGGGGUGGUACAGCCUCAUUAAAUAGUAUUUUCAGUCUAUCAUGGGUACUAGAUUGAGUUUUAUUUGUUUUAAUGAAUUCCAUUUCAGAUUAAUUAAAGCAUUUGGGGAGUUGUAUGAUCAUUUGAAUUGAGGAGAGAGUGUCUAGGUCGGCAUUACCUUGAAUAAUGUUCAGGACAAGCUGACAUGAGGGUAUAUACAGGGACUAUAGGCUAGGGUACCAUACGUUUUUAUCAAUUCACAACCCUUGGGGCCUGGGGAAACCUGUCUGACAUAAUUCCUGUUCUAAAGCUGCUCCAAGUCACCUGACUGGAACAUUAGUGAAGCCUCUGUGUCCAACCUCUUAUCAGUUCAAGUGCUUUCAUGAUCGAGUCCUUCCUAAUUACUGACACCAACUCGGGAGUCCCUCCUGUUUAAUGACCUCUUUUAGUAGGCCUACUGCAGAGACUCAGCACCAAGGAGCUUCAGAACAGAGGACAGCGCUCCCCCAACCACCUGCCUGCCAACAUGGGACAGACGCACCACACGGAGCAGAAUGACCCAGAGAUCGAUGUCAAGGCGCUCCAGGACAUGUACAAAAAGUUUGUGACGGAGUGCCCGAGCGGUGUUUUAUUUAUCCACGAGUUCAAGCGUUUUUUUGGCGUCGACCCAACUGGGGAAGUCUCUGAGUAUGCGGAGAGUAUGUUUCGAGCUUUUGACAAGAAUGGGGUGAGAUAGCCUAUUGUAUGCUGUAUGUUUCUGAGUUUAUAGUUUUCUAUAUCCUUGCAAAUGAACACGGGCACCGUUUUUCUAAGUUUAGGGAAAAAAACGAUUGUUUUCAAUUUGUCUAUGUCUUUUCAGGAUAACACCAUUGAUUUUCUGGAGUUUGUGGCAGCCUUGAAUCUGGUUUUCCGGGGGGACUUGGAGCACAAAUUACGCUGGUCAUUUAAAGUAUACGACAAGGACGGCAACGGCUAUGUAGAUAGGACAGAACUGCGAGCUAUUAUUGAUAGUAUAUAUCGAUUAAAGACGACGUCCAAGAGAGAGCAGGAGGGUAUGCAGCUGUCGGUGAAUGAAGUGUGUGAAAGAAUACUGAAGACUGUGGAUGUGGACAAUGACGGUCACAUCACCCUGGAGGAGUUCAUCAAGGGGGCCCAGGGAGACCCAUGGAUCAUGAACAUGCUCCAACUGGACAUGAACCCUUAUGGCUGGGUGCUGGAACAGAGAAGGAAGAGCGCACACUUUUAAAAUGACUGGAAAGACAAAAGCAUCUUCAUUUAACAUUUUUCUUUAUUUUUUCCCCUUUUUUUUUCUUAAACUAAAUUAGGUUCCAAAUCAAUUGCACAUAAUAGGAAAAAACACAUUGCAGAUUCAUUCAGAUUGUUUAAGCUAUUUUUAAUUAUAAGGACAGGAAUGGUUGUGUCGAUUACCUUCCAUAAAUUCCAUGAGAUGAACAGCUUGUUCAUUCUGAGUGAACCUGCAGUGCAGUUUUUCUUUAUCUAUAGAUGAUUUAAUUGGGGCCUUAAAACAAUGUCAGUUCCACUUUAACUACUUUGCAGAUAUGAAACAAACAGACAAUCAUAAUAUCAAUACAAAAUAUAAAAUUCCCAGAUCAUGCUACAAAACCAACUUAAUAAGAGGUUUUAAAAAUAGGUUCUAUUUCACUCAAAAUUCCAUGACAUACAGUAAGGCAUUGUUGGGAGAAUAGAUGGAUGCAGUUCAAUGCAUGAAUAAUAUAAUUCACCAAUACAGUGCAUUCGGAAAGUAUUCAGACCUUGACUUUUUCCACAUUUUGUUACGUUACAGCCGUAUUCUAAAAUGGAUUAAAUCAUUUUUUUCCCUCAUCAAUCUACACACAAUAACCCAUAAUGACAAAGCAAAAACAGGUUUUUAGAAAUGUUAGCAAAUGUAUUAAAAAUAAAAAAAAAUGAAAUAUAACAUUUACAUAAGUAUUCAGACCUUUACUCAGUACUUUGUUGAAGCACCUUUGGCAGUGAUUACAGCCUUGAGUCUUCUUGGGUAUGACGCUACAAGCUUCGCACACCUGUAUUUGGCAAGUUUCUCCCAUUCUUCUAUGCAGAUCCUCUCAAGCUCUGUCAGGUUGGAAUAAGGAGAAGAGCUGCACAGAUAUUUUCAGGUCUCUCCAGAAAUGUUAGAUUGGGUUCAAGUCUGGGCUCUGACUGGGCCACUCAAGGAAAUUCAGACACUUGUCCCGAAGCCACUCCUGCAUUGUCUUGGCUUUGUGCUUAGGGUCCUUGUCCUGUUGGAAGGUGAACCUUCACCCCAGUCUGAGGUCCUGAGCACUCUGGAAAAGGUGUUCAUCAAGGAUCUCUCUGUACUUUGCUCCGUUCAUCUUUCCUGCAAUCCUGACUAGUCUCCCAGUCCCUGCCGCUGAAAAACAUCCCCACAGCAUGAUGCUGCCACCACCAUGCUUCACCUUAGGGAUGGUGCCAGGUUUCCUCCAGACGUGACGCUUGGCAUUCAGGCUAAAGAGUUCAAUCUUGGUUUCAUCAGACCAGAGAAUCUUGUUUCUCAUGGUCUGAGAGUCCUUUAGGUGCCUUUUGGCAAACUCCAAGCGGGCUGUCAUGUGUCUUUUACUGAGGAGAGGCUUCCAUCUGGCCACUCUACCAUAAAGGCCUGAUUGGUGAAGUGUUGCAGAGAUGGUUGUCUUUCUGGAAGGUUCUCGCAUUGCCACAGAGGAGCUCUGAAGCUCUGUCAGAGUGACCAUCGUGUUCUUUGUCACCUCCCUGACCAAGGCCCUUUUCCCCUGAUUGCUCACUUUGGCUGGGCGGCCAGCUCUAGGAAGAGUCUUUGUGGUUCCAAACUUCUUCCAUAUAAGAAUGAUGGAGAACACUGUGUUCUUGGGGACCAUCAAUGCUGCAGGCAUUUUUUUAUACCCCAGAUCUGUGCAUCGACACAAUCAUGUCUCGGAGCUCUACGGACAAUUCCUUAUAUAGACAGGUGUGUGUCUUUCAAAUCAUGUCCAAUCAAUUGAAUUUACCACAUGUGGGAUCCAAUCAAGUUGUAGAAACAUUUCAAGGAUGAUCAAUGUAAACAGGCUGCACCUGAGCUCAAUUUCGAGUCUUAUAGCAAAGGGUCUGAAUACCUGUUUUCGCUUUGUCAUUAUGGGGUAUUGUGUGUAGAUUGAUGAGGAUUUUUUUUUUAUUUAAUCCAUUUUAGAAUAAGGCUGUAACGAAACAAAAUGUGGAAAAAGUUAAGGGGUCUGAAUAAUUUCAAUAUGCACUGUACAUUUCUUGGUAGUCCAAAAAAUAUUGCUAUCAAGUUGUAAAUCACAGUUGGCCUGGUACAUUGUUUGCUGCCUCCACUUAAAUCGGGAUGCAUUGUUUCAGUUUCAAUCACUCAAUAUUUUGGGACAAAACUGGACGAAUGUAACUAUGGCUGGGAAUGUCAAUACAAUCAAACUUGCAAGGGCAAUGAUCACAAGAUUUUAGCUCAUCUCGCUCUGGCUAGUAUUAGUUGUUUAUCUUGUGGUUGUUGAUGUGCAUAACUGAAGGUGUCAUGCUCUGACCUAGGAGAGCUGUGUUUUCUCUGUUUAGUUAGGUCAGGGUGUGAUAGGAGGGUGGGCAUUCUAUGUUUUGUUUUCUAUGUUUUGGCCGGGUAUGGUUUCCAAUCAGAGGCAGCUGUCUCUCGUUGUCUCUGAUUGGAAGCCAUACUUAGGCAGCCUGUUUUCCCUGUGUUUUUGUGGGAUCUUGUUUUUGUGCAGCUGUGUGUGAGCAGCCCCAGAACGUCACAUUUGUUUCAGUUUCCCCUGUUUAUUGUUUUGUUCAAGUUCACAAAUACAAUAUGUGGAACUACCGGCACGCUGCGCCUUGGCUGAUCUUUGACAGGGAAUUCGAAGACAGCACUCGUGACAGAAGAUCCCACCAAAAGAAAGCCAAGCAGCGUGCGCUCACCAGGAAGACGAGUGGGACCAAGCAGUGUGGUUCAGAGGACUGGACCUGGGAAGAGAUCCUGGAUGGGGCAGGACCUUGGACAAGGCCGGGAGAGUAUCGCCGCCCGCCGGAGGAGAUAGAGGCAGCGAAGGCGGAACGGCGAUACUGGGAAGAACGGCUAAGAGAGCUACAGGAGCCCGAGAGGCAGCGGCAAAAAAAAAAAUUGUGGGGGGGGGGGCACACGGGUAGAUUGGCUAAGGCGGGUGUAAGACCUGAGCCAACUCCCCGUGCUUACCGUGGGGAGCGAGUGACUGUACAAGCACCGUAUUAUGCGGUGGUGCGCACGGUGUUGCCCAUGCGCACUCACAGCCCGGUGCGCUCGGUGCAAGCUCCUCACCGUUGUUGUGCUAAGGUUGGCACUCAGCCAGCUUGGAGUAUGCCAUCAUUCACUUUGAGCUGGACUGUGUGUUUACAGGCAGUAGGGCCUGCCAUCAUUCACUUUGAACUAGACUGUGUGUUAACAGGCAGUAGGACCUGCCAUUCUGAAAUAAUUCAGAAUAGCCUACUACACCAUGAAAAUGCCCUUAAUUUAGCCACAGAGGAUCAACAGCUUCUUUAAAAAAAAUGCCAAGCUGUGGAUUGUGUGUAGCCCAAUAACAAGGCAUGGCCUACAGUCGGGAACGCGCUGCAAAUCUGUCAGUGAACAGUAUGCAGACAAAAUGGGCUUUCUAAAUAUUUCUAAAACAAUUGCGGGAAAACACAGGUUGGAAACCAAAUGUCUCCUGCUAAAAAGAGAAGAAGUCUGCUGUAGCAUAACAAAAUAUUUGAUCAACUUCCAAAUAUUGUUUUACAAAGUAAUCUGACUAUGUCGUAUGGCUGUGGGCUACACUAGUUCAUUUAGCAGACAAGAUUUGCUUAGAAUUCUGAGGCAUUAUUUUAUAUCUGUCAUGACCGUCGUUUAAAUAACUGGACCAAGGCGCAGCGUGAGUAGAGUUCCACAUUUUAUUGCUCGUGAAACUUCAAAAAAUAAAAAAGAUAUAACGAUCGUGCAAAACGUAGCGCACAAAGGCACUCGCACAAAACAUUAUCCCACCAUGCAGGUGAGAAAAGGGACACACUAAGUAUAAUCCCCAAUUAGAGGCAAAGAUAUUCAGCUGCCUACAAUUGGGAACCAUACUCACACACCAACAUAGAACUAUAAUAACUAGAAAAAAAACCUAGUCACGCUCUGACCUAUUACACCAUAGAGAACCCCGAGGGCGCUCUAUGGUCAGGGUGUGACAAUAUCAUUUUAUAGUAUGAAGAAUAUAGUUUAACAUAGCUGAAUAAAAUAUAAAUCAUAUUUUCUCCAAACGAUUUGGGGGAGUGUGGACAUGCAGCAAUUCUGUGUUGAGCAGUUAACAAAGAAACAGCUAUUCCUAUAUGCUUAAUUUAGAGUUAUUUAUGAAACUUUAGUUGUGAUGCAAAUGUUGGGCUAUAUAUAUAUUUUGAUUUUAAUACAUUCUAAGGCUGUAUGGUGCUACUCUCAUUAUGAUUUUUUAAAAGUUGCAUGAAAGGCAUGAGCUCAGCUUUGUUUUUUUGCGCAGGCUGUACAGACUCAUUCACAAUCUGACAAACACUUGAUAAUUCCUCAAAUUUCCUGGCUGCAUCCCCUGUGUGGCCGUAAUGCUCCUUAAAAAAAAUCCAUGCCUUUUGCGGCCAGUAGCCAUUGUGCCCUUGGGCUGAAUAUGAUCAUUAUAAUUCCUAUGGACAGCCAUGUGAGCACCUCUCACUCACGUGGCUGUCCAUCACGUGAUCGGGUCUUUCUCACAGGCUACAAGUGAAGACAGACUCGGGGACGCAACGGCGCACAUCCAUAUCCAGUUCUGAGGUGCAUAUUGGAAGAACUGUCUAAAUUUACUUUUCGUCAGCCAACAAGAUGAGUAGGCCUACCGAACAGCUAAAGUACUAGCCUAUGUCAAUCUACUAUCCCCCAUAAUACAAAAGUUGACCUAUUCUAUUCUGUGCGAGAAAUAAAUAUUCCAAACAUAGUGUCAUGACUAUCUCUAUCUUGGUGAGGAUCACAGGACAACAGAUAGCCCAAACCCCCUCUCUCCCAGAGGAGAGGGGGAGUUGGGCUGGUUUUAGGACUUAAUGACAGGUCGUAAACUUUCUCUCUCUUGCACUGCAGUAUGGAGAAGUUAAAAAUCCUUUCGUUACAACAGAGAGAAACUGUGACACCAAAACUUCAACAUCAAAAGAUUGGACAUUGGAACAUUUGUUUUGAAAUCCAAAUGUUUGGAAUGGUUGGUAAGGAUCCAAACAAUAAUCAUGUCAUCAUUUAUUAUUUUGUGAUGUCAUAAGGAUGGUAUAACAAGAUAACUGUAACUCUAAGAGUGUACACGCCCGAGUUGUCAGGUUUGCAUCUAAAUGUUGUAUAAAAUCAAUGAUUAAAACAUACCUGUCUGAAGAUUUACAGGUGCAAAUACUUAGCUAGUCCCCCCCUUCAUUUUAGAGCCCGUUUAUUACUAUGC
Molecule: long non-coding RNA, 10643 nt
Filed under: Salmo salar (Atlantic salmon)
Lineage: Eukaryota; Metazoa; Chordata; Actinopteri; Salmoniformes; Salmonidae
Description: lncRNA (ENSSSAG00000086839.1)
Source: RNAcentral